AUCCUGCCUUGGAACCAGCCAGCCAUGGACUGAAAUGUCCAGAGUCACCUAGGAUGGCCCCGGAAGACGGAAUGAGUACGGACUGGACCAGCCUUCCGAUUCUGAGUGGUUUGCCAUGCUUUUGUAUGAGGACCCUGCAGCGGGCAGCCUGUCCUGAUCCCUUGGCCCCGCAGACCUGGGGGAGCAGGUGUGUGGCCUGUGGCACCCUCAGCCUAGUUCAGCCCAUCUUGCAAGGAUUCAAGGAGUUUCCAGGUUUGUCUCUGGUGGGGCCAAGAGGACAUGCAAGCGCUGGGAAACUGAUCUGGGGACAAGGAAGAAGGGGUGCAGUUGAAUAAAAAGAGAUAAUACAAAAGGGAAGAAGAAAACGAGGUUGAGAGGAGAUCAGAGGUGGCCCCCAGGUCCCUAGGUCCCCAGAUCCCCCACAGCCCUCUGGUCUCUCAGGCCCCAGGGCCCCCCAAUCACCUCCUUUAGUCUAAAUCCCAGCAUUGGGUUUUGUCUUGGGGACACUUUACAGCCACUACAUGGUUUGGGGAGGCACAGGGUGGUUGUAGGGGGAGGAGGAAGUCUGGGGUACCCACAGGAAGAUAGUGGAGGGCAUCUGUGUCCCUGGGUCGUGGGGUCUCUGCACACUUGUGGCUUUUCUCUUCAGCAGCUUGGUGGGCUGUGUCUCUGCUAGAGCACUGGGCACUGACCUGGGCACUGACCCGGGCACUGACCCGGGCACUGACCUGGGCACUGAUGGUCAGCCUGGCUGUGCUGCUGGAGUGGCUCCAGCACCAGCCUCGCAGGGAAGGAUGGCUUCUGGCCCACAGCAGCGGCUCUGCUGGAACUAGGUCACCCUUGGCACCUGUGUCCCCAGCACGCAAUCCGUCCCAGGUGGGACCAAGCAGAAAGCCCAACACCCAGGUGCAGGGGCACCUGGAAGGCCCAAGCAAACACCAUCAUUCCUGAGGUGGCCCCGCCCUGUGGACUUGGCACUUUGGAAGCAGCAGGUGUGAAAAAAGGCCAGGAGUGUGGUGAGGCGCAGGCCACAGGGUUCUGGCUCAAAGUCCUGAGCUUCCAGAGUCAGAAGAACUCGGGUAUGUGAACACAGUCACAUCAUAAAGUAUUCAAAUGACUGUAGCAUUCUCCAUAUUUUAUUUUUUACUCUUGGAGCUUAUGACAAAUAACUUGGAUUUCAUGAAAUAUAUAUUUUAAAUGUCUUUGCCCACCAAAAGAGCAAUUCCCUAGCAUGUUAAUUAGACUGGAGAGAUGAAAUUGAGGCUCAGGAGCAUAUUUAUAAUGUGGCUUAUUAAUCAUCGAUGGUUUCCAAGAAAAUAAUUAUGUUGGACAAAUGAUAAUAUUUUGCUCUUAUAACUGUAUCUCUACAUUUAUUCAAAACUCUUGGUUUUCCCCAUUUGGCAUUUGAUUAAUUAUUCUCCUUGGGGUGACAGAUUGUUUGUAGCUUCUUUUGUGGACAGUUUUUGUGAUCCAAUCUCCCUGUUCAGGAAGAGAUUUUGAGUCCACAUCCAGGACCCUGGCAACUUCGCAGGUUGUGGCUUGAAGAGGACACCCUGUGGUCAGCCAUGUGGGGUUGUGGGGCCCCUUCCAGCUGCCCCUGGGAAGAUGGGGUGAUAUCACUGCUUUCUGGGGUUCCUGGGAACAGAGGGUGGGGUGGCCUUGGCCUCUUGGUCCAGACACUCCCGAAGCUGGACAUGUGGUCUUGCUGUAUCUGCUGCUGACGUUCUUCCUGCCCACACCCCGAUCCUGACCCAGGCACUUCCGGGUCCUCACAGGCCAUUCCCUGUUCAUGUGAGCCUUGUCUGCUUUUCCACUUGCUGCGACGCUGCCUCCCUACUUGACCCUCACCACCUCCUCCACUCUCGCUAUCAACAUAGGCUCUUAGGCUGCCUGGGAAACUGAGACAGGAAGAACUAGGCUCUGGAGGUGAUGGCCAAGGGGUUUUGGUUCCCAGAUCGGGCUGAGGGAGACCUGGUGGGUCCAGGCCAUGCUGGUGGACAGGGAGGGUGGGAACUGGGGGAUGUGGGAUGGGUGGGGACCAACGCCAGCAGCUGUGGAGCAGUGACAGAAGCAGCCUGUCCCUCUCCCGGGGCCCAGGGGAUAGUUCUCCCUCCUGGACCCUUUGGAGCAAGGACAAAUGGAGCCAAUGCAGUCUCUUUGUUCCAGACACCAAGUGGCGCUGCCUGCGUUCUCCAUGUCCGUGGGCUGAAGAGACAGAAGCCAAGGCCAAGUGGAUGCCCAGGGCCCUGCCCACCUUUCUUGUGUCCCUAAGGGAAGGACAGGACUGUGCUUAGCUCAGGCCCUGCCCAUAGCCACCAGCAGCUGUGCAGGAGUGUGGCUUCCUGCGAGGCUGCAGCAAUGGGAACCUUGAAGCUGUCCUUGGAGACCCCAGUCUCAGGGCCCUGGCCCUGUAGAGAGAACACUUAAAUAAGAGGCAAUGGGGCUGUAAACCCACCUUCACAGCUGAAGCUCUGGCCAGGUGCUGGUGAUGGGCAACCACUGAGGGGAAGGUAGGACACAGAUCAAUGGUCCAGCUGUCAGGCCGUUCUCAUCAGAGGGGAACGAGCAGCAUGGUUUCCGUCACAAACCAGAUUAAAGAUGGACGAGAGGAGGUCGGUGCAGAGUUUCAUGGAAACAAACACUUUUAGGGAACAUAGAUGCAAUGAAACUCACAGCGGCCUGGAGGAGGAGAAAGAACUACUGCCCAAGCAGUGCCUUAACUGUCUCCAGAGGACACACAGUGCUCCAGACCCUGAGCAGGCACCGACUGGGUGCAUGCAUGUGUUCAGAGGGUGCUGGGCGCCCUGUGUUGUGAGAGCAAUGAAUGGUGCCACGUAUAGACAUAGACUCAUUCAGUCUGGGUAACUCCACAGGAUGUGCGACAGGGUCAUCUGUCCAAGAAGAGGCGUGCUCACCCAGCCCAGUGGGUCGGGUCAGUGCUGGGGCUCGAGUCGAGUCUGUCUGACCAUCACCCUUGCUUCUCCCUCUCUGAGCAGGGCAACAACUCCGUGGCACCUGGGAAACUUCUACUGACAUCAGCUCAGUGGAAGACAACCAUGGCAGCUGUUUGGUGGCUAAGUUUGUGUUUACUAAAUCAUCCUCAGAGAAAGCUGCUCGUGGUAUUUCAAAUCGGCACAUCACUAUUCCUGUGUCCAAGAGACAGAGACCCCUUGGGCUUUCCAAUCUGACAGGGAUCUUUCCAGAACAUUCCCUGGAAAUGAACAGCUCACCACCUGUGUUAGUCUCAGCGUCACAGUAAGCGCACAGCCUGGGCCUCAGCAAAGAAUACAACUCUAUGGAUUCCACUUAGAAAUUGUUUUAGGCUCUCCGCUACUUUCUGCAUGGAAGGAGACAGGUAGAGACAUAUGAAUCCAUGCUGUUGAGAACCCAGAAGCAUCUGGACCUCUGGAAAGGUGUUGAUCUUAAAAAUGAAUUUCCUGUUGGCUGUGGAAGGAUGCUUCUGUUUGCUCUUUUCUGUUGCCAUGGACACUGCCUGGGAAAGCGCCAGUGAUCCCAGGGCUGUGUGUCCAUCUUCAUCAAUGCAAGAGCUGCUGAGCCUUCCCCUGAGACACAGCUCUUCCAGGACAGCAGCAUCUUACUGCUUCUCUGAAGGAAGGACACAGUCUGUGUGCCCACAACUGGUGCCCACCACAGGCCAGGGUGGGGACAGUCGCUGGGUUUAUACCAAAUCUGCCCAGAGACAAGGCCCAGGAGGCAGCUCCAUAGCCAGGUGCUACCUCCUCCCUGCUGCCACGCCUCGUCAGAGUGCACGCUGCACCUGUGGGGUAGUUGGCUGGGUGGGUGGAUGAACAGAUGGAUAAAUGAGUGGUGGAUGGGUGGGUAGAUGGGUGGAUGAGGAGAUGGAUGAUGGGAGGUUAGAUGCAUGGUGGAUAGACAUUUGGAUGGGUAAGUGUGUGGCUGGGUGGAUAAACUGGCAGAGCCUGAUUUUCAGGGAACUUUGAGGAGGUCAGCAUCUGCAUCAGUCCGGGACAGGAAAAGCCGCAGCAGUGUGGGGGCCCGGUAAGCAUUCCCUCCUCGAUGCCCCGCCCCACCCCAGCCCUAAGGCAGCUAUCCCGCUGGCACAGAUAGUGUGCCUGUGAGAAAGAGGAGGGCAGAGCAGCCCUCACCUAAAUGUGGGCACUGACUUUGAAACCAAGCUUUUGCAGUCAAAGCUGGAACGACAGCCCUAAAACUAGAGUGGUUUUGGUUUGCCGAGGCCAAACAUUCGAGCGAGGAGAGGACAUUCCCCGAGUUGAAAGGAGGGUUCAUACAUGUGAAAGUAGUGAGGUGGGCUCGGACUUUGGUCAGGGAGCCAGAGAGGCGGACACAGCCAGGAGAUAGAGGUGUGUGCAAGAGUGUGUGUGCAAAGGGUGAUGCCUCCUGCUGUCUGGAGGGUUCUUCUGGAGUUCAGACUGGUCAAGAUUAAAUCAUUAGCUUACAAUCUUCUCAAAUGAUACGGAGAAAGCGUUUGAUGAAAUCCGGCAUCCAUCCACAAUUAAAACAAGAAAUAAACCCAGCAAAACAAGAAUAAAAAAAGAAAUUCCCUUAGAUGAUGAAUGCCACUGCCUCGGUCAUCCUGGGCUGCCAGAACGCAAGGCUCCAGGGUGGGCUGAUUCCUCACAAUCCUGGAGGCCAGAAGUCUAAGGUCAGGGUGCCGGGCAGGCUAGUGGGGGAGGAGCCUGGACCCAGCUUGCAGACAGCAAACUUCUCACUGCUCCGUGUCUUCACGCAGCCUUUC
Long non-coding RNA from Fukomys damarensis (Damara mole-rat), 4738 nucleotides. RefSeq lists it as uncharacterized. NCBI's taxonomy places the organism in Eukaryota, Metazoa, Chordata, Mammalia, Rodentia, Bathyergidae. The transcript is spliced from 4 exons. The record is from RefSeq and is a predicted model, not a curated record.